UGGGGAAUCUUCCGCAAUGGACGAAAGUCUGACGGAGCAACGCCGCGUGUAUGAUGAAGGUCUUCGGAUUGUAAAGUACUGUCAUUGGGGAAGAACGGUUUUCUUGAAAAGAUUGAGAAGACAUGACGGUACCCAAGGAGGAAGCCCCGGCUAACUACGUGCCAGCAGCCGCGGUAAUACGUAGGGGGCAAGCGUUGUCCGGAAUUAUUGGGCGUAAAGGGCGCGUAGGCGGGCCUUUAAGUCCGGUGUGAAAGAUCAGGGCUCAACCCUGAGAGUGCAUCGGAAACUGGAGGCCUUGAGGACAGGAGAGGAAAGUGGAAUUCCACGUGUAGCGGUGAAAUGCGUAGAUAUGUGGAGGAACACCAGUGGCGAAAGGCGACUUUCUGGACUGUAACUGACGCUGAGGCAUGAAAGCGUGGGUAGCAAACAGGAUUAGAUACCCUGGUAGUCCACGCCGUAAACGAUGAGCACUAGGUGUAGGAGGUAUCGACCCCUUCUGUGCCGCAGUUAACACAAUAAGUACUCCGCCUGGGAAGUACGAUCGCAAGAUUAAAACUCAAAUGAAUUGACGGGGUC
RNAcentral lists this ribosomal RNA (576 nucleotides) under uncultured bacterium. RNAcentral describes it as "partial 16S ribosomal RNA". It matches the Rfam family "Bacterial small subunit ribosomal RNA", at positions 355 to 920 of the family's 1533-position model. The record is from RNAcentral.